RNAcentral lists this ribosomal RNA (217 nucleotides) under uncultured bacterium. RNAcentral's name for it is "partial 16S ribosomal RNA". It matches the Rfam family "Bacterial small subunit ribosomal RNA", at positions 133 to 334 of the family's 1533-position model. The record is from RNAcentral.
CCAGAGGGGGACAACAGUUGGAAACGACUGCUAAUACCGCAUACGAUCUAAUCUCGGCAUCGAGGAUAGAUGAAAGGUGGCCUCUACAUGUAAGCUAUCACUGAAGGAGGGGAUUGCGUCUGAUUAGCUAGUUGGAGGGGUAACGGCCCACCAAGGCGAUGAUCAGUAGCCGGUCUGAGAGGAUGAACGGCCACAUUGGGACUGAGACACGGCCCAG